GGCUACAGUUCUUAGCAGGAGAGAGAGCGAGGAGUUGUCAGGAAAGCUGCAGGUUACUUUGAGACAGUCGUCCCAAAUGCAUUAGAGGAACUGUAAAAAUCUGCCACAGAAGGAACGAUGAUCCAUAGUCAGAAAAGUUACUGCAGCUUAAACAGGAAACCCUUCUUGUUCAGGACUGUCAUAGCCACAGUUUGCAAAAAGUGCAGCUAUUGAUUAAUGCAAUGUAGUGUCAAUUAGAUGUACAUUCCUGAGGUCUUUUAUCUGUUGUAGCUUUGUCUUUUUCUUUUUCUUUUCAUUACAUCAGGUAUAUUGCCCUGUAAAUUGUGGUAGUGGUACCAGGAAUAAAAAAUUAAGGAAUUUUUAACUUUUCAAUAUUUGUGUAGUUCAGUUUUUCUACAUUUUAGUACAGAAACUUUAACAAAAUGCAGUUUCGAAGGUGUUUCCUUGUGAGUUAACAAGUAAAGAAGAUCAUUGUUAAUUACUAUUUUGUAUGAAUUUUGCUAAAGUUAACUGUAAAGAAACACCUGCUGACUUGCAGUUUAAGGGGAAUCUAUUCUCCCCAUUUCCAAACCGUGAUAUGAAUGGGCGCUGACAUGUGGAGAGAAUAGAUAAUUUGUGUGUUUGCAAUGUGUGUUUUAGAUAAAUAGGAUUGGGUAUUUAAAUUAGCAUUUGUGAAUUUAAUAGCAUUAAGAUUACCUUCAAAUGAAAAAAAUCUCAAAAUUUCUAUUUGGUUUUUGUGCAUUUUCUUUUAAAAUGUAAUCAUAUGAUUUUAGUGUGUUAGACUUGCUGAGUCCUAGCUGUGUUUAGAACAUCUCUAUUCUACAUUUACCUUGGUCAAAUUUGAACUGCUGCCAUAGGUUUUGGGUGUAAAGAAUGUUUACUGCCCUCCAUUUAAAUUCUGAAAAGGGAUAGUGGAUGUUUUCCCUCUCCUACGUUAGAAACCAUUCUUAAAAACUUUUGAAAAUAUAGAACCAUUAAGCCUGCUAUAUCUGAGCAAAUUAGUGGGUACCUUUUUUCUCUUAUUUAAAGCACAAGAGGCCCAUAAAUCUUGAGUUACUUUCCUUAAAUUCUUUUUUUUGAUACAAGUUUUCAGAGCAAGAGAAUAAAAAUCAUGUGUUAUUAAACCCCUAACUGGCUGGCAUGCUUUCCUGUUUGUAUUCUAUACAUUUUGCUGGAUGAAACCAAGGAUAGUUUAGGUAUAAUUGUCCAAAAUAACCUAACUGCAGCAGAAAUGUAGCACAGUUGCUUAGUACAGGCUUCUCACUUCCUACAGACCUGAAUUCAAAUUUGGAUAGUCUGAGUUCUUAAAUUCCCAAAGAACACACUGUUAUUUCUUGUGUAUAUUUCAACAUAAAUCAUGUUGUUACCAAUUUGUUUGGAAGGCCCUGGUUGAGAAGAGUUUUAGUUAAUAAGGUCAUAUAUACAUAUAUUAAUAUAAACCAAUGUCUACUGUUUUGCUCCAGCUAGUGCUUACAAUUUCAUUCGAGCCCUGAGUAUGUGCCCUGCUGUUACUCUCUUUGGUAGUUGAACGUUGAAUUCAAGUCUUUUUGUUUUAAGAAGUACUAAGCAAACAAGCAAUAAAAAGGGGAAUGGGGUGUGCUAGUGUUUGAAUAUGCUCUCUUGUUGCUCUAAUUCUGUGCCUCUGUGCAUUAAUAUUUGGAUGCAUGCAAUGCCAGCAUGGAAAUUGGUCUUCACACAUACUGCAGUUUUCCAGAAACAUUCACAAACCAAUAAAUGUAACAGACAUUCCAUUUGUUAAUGGGCAUAUAUGUGAAAAGCAGUGUAGAAAAUAGGCUAAUAUUAGAAAAUGGUUAAGUCCUUAAUAACUUCAAGUGUGGUUAUAUAAUGGACACUGUCAAUGUUCAUAACUUAAACCUGGGUACCUGGUCAAAAUAAUGCUUGGGAAACAUUAAAAUUGAGCUAAAUUGUCUCAAGUUCUUUUAUUCAUAUAAAUAAAGUUUAAAGGAAUGGGGGAGAUUAACAUUUCCUGUUUUAUGUUUGUGAAAUUGUUUGACACAACCUUGACAGUAUCCUUUAAUGGCAUGAGGUUAAUUGUACUGUUAACCAACUUUCUAUGUUCUGGAACUAGUAUUAUAGUGAAAACAUUUACAGUAAGUUGAUGUUUACAACCUAUAAGCAGGUGAAAUCUGUGUAUGUGACCUGUUUAUAAGUUGUAUUAGCUUAGCUCUUGUGAACAGUGUGGAAAAGUAAGCCAUGAGGAGAGCGAUUUAACCAGCUUUAAAGGACCUAAGAUGUGCUUUUUAAGCACAGUGUGGAUCACAGAAACUCACUAAGACAGGACUUCAGCAGCCUUUUGUGUUUGGACAAGUCAGCAUAAAUAAAGAAUGACAAGGCAGCAGCAAGAGCUUCAACUACAGAGAAGUGAAGGCAUAAGAUACUAUGAUGAUAGUGAGCAACUUUCCAAAAGCUAGUUAAAUCUGCUUAUUACAACUGAAAUAUCGAAGAAAGUCUAGCAGGAAGGAGCUCUUCGCCUUUUGGAACAUCAAUGAGAGAUAGUUGCCACAGUCACUAGGUCUAGCAUUUAGACCUGCAAGGAAGGGCAAUAAGCAUUAGGUUGAAUGAGAACCCUACUUGCCUAAAUGAGGAAUGUCUUUCCUACCAUCUAAAAUACGAAGGUUUCUGGCUGGGUAAGGUUUGUAGUUGACAGUAAAACCUGAUGACACCAUUUGUUUCCCUGCAAGUCUACAUUACAUAUUUCACAACUUUGUCCCUCUCUAGUAGGCACAUUGGAACAAUUCUUCAACUGAAAACUACCUUGGUACCAUGUCCUACACGUUUUAAACCUUAGUUUUAAAAAUUCCCCUGCGAAAUAGCCAUAAGUAUUCAUAUCAAGUCAGUUGUGGCUCCUUGUGUAUACAAUUCAUUUUUAGUGUCUUCAGGGUAAACUCAAUUUUUGGUAAAAGAAAGUAGCUUCAGCUUUUGUGAAAACCGUUUUUGUGUGUAAGCAUGACACACAACAGACUCAGUAAGCUGCCCAUCCUCAUACUAGGAAAACACCUUCAAAGGAACAUUAAAAGUUACCAGGGCCAGGCACAGUGGCUCACGCCUGUAAUCCCAGCACUUUGGGAGGCUGAGGCAGAUGGAUCCCAAGUCCAGGAGUUUGAGAUGAGCCUGGGCAACAUAGUGAGAGCCUGUCAACAAAAAAUAGAAAAAUUAGCUGGGCUUGGUGAUACACAUCUGUAGUCCCAGCUAUUUGGGAGGCUGCCUUGAUCUCAGGCAGUCGAGGCUGCAGUGAGCUGACUUGCCCCACUGUAUUCCAGCCUGGGUGACCACCCCAUCUCAAAGAAGAAAAGUUACCAGAUGUCAUGGAUAAAGGUUGGUCUUCAAGUGGCCUCAUAAGUUGUCUUGCAUUUAAAUUCAGGGAAUUCAUUGGACCAAUAGGUUACAUUUUCGUUCCUUUUUUGUUUUGGUUCAUCUGUUAAGCAGUGGGGGCCUAAUUACUGCUCCUUUGUAAAAAACACAUUUUCCCAAAGAACACUGAAUUACCGUUCAAACUGGUUGUUGAUGGGUAAUAAGGGCUGUUUUUGCUGCCCCAAAAGGGCUUAACAAUUUAGGCGGUUAGUUUACUUAAAAAAAAAAAUCCUUUGGAGACAAAUACUGAAAAUGCAAACUAGUUUCUAAAUUAUCAAUUCCCUACAUGAAGAAGCAGUUUGCCAGAGUUUAGUCUCAGAAAAUGACUGGUUGGCUCUAUUUAAAUCAGAACCCAAUUUCUACGUGUGUUGAAUAAGGUAACAGCCUUCGAUGAAUUUCCUUCACAACAUGGUUUUUAGUGAAGCAAACAUUUUUAUUUUUUAAGGGCAUUGUUCUUUCUAGUUUAUUUCUUUUUAUGAAAUAAAAUUAUUUUAUUUAAACAGUUCCAUUGUCGUUUCUGAAAACUACAGUAUUCUCAGAAGUUGUAGCAGCAGUAAAAAAAAAAAGUUAUAUAAGUGAUUGGGGCAGAUUUAACUGAUUUUGUUAAACCAAUUUGUAAGUUACUGCUUCUAAUAUUACACUUCUAAAAAGCUGAAUUUAUACUCAUGUCCUAAAGGAGAAUAUGUGGUAAUAAAGUAUAUUUGUUAAGUAACUAAUUGAAAUAGGCUUGGUUUUAAGAGUUCCAGUAUAUAAUAAUCACAAAUUGAAACCUGACAGUAUCUUGGGAGUUCCAGUAAUGUCACAAAUUAGUGAAUAAGCAUGCCAGUGUGCAAGGGUAAUGUAAGGAUUGUUAGCCUAUCUAAAUAUUCGAAAUUACUUUAAAACUUAAGUAUGUUUUCUGAUUUUUAAGAAUUCAGAAGUGUGUUCUGUAAUGGAUUCAGAUGUUUCAUUUGUAGUAUAAUGAAAUGUUUACAGAAAG
RNAcentral lists this long non-coding RNA (4351 nucleotides) under Pan troglodytes (chimpanzee). RNAcentral's name for it is "long non-coding RNA NONPTRT010845". Lineage: Eukaryota; Metazoa; Chordata; Mammalia; Primates; Hominidae. The record is from RNAcentral.